This 467-nucleotide ribosomal RNA is filed under the name uncultured bacterium. RNAcentral's name for it is "partial 16S ribosomal RNA". It matches the Rfam family "Bacterial small subunit ribosomal RNA", at positions 28 to 506 of the family's 1533-position model. The record is from RNAcentral.
GACGAACGCUGGCGGCGUGCUUAACACAUGCAAGUCGAACGGAAAGGCCCUGCUUUUGUGGGGUGCUCGAGUGGCGAACGGGUGAGUAACACGUGAGUAACCUGCCCUUGACUUUGGGAUAACUUCAGGAAACUGGGGCUAAUACCGGAUAGGAGCUCCUGCUGCAUGGUGGGGGUUGGAAAGUUUCGGCGGUUGGGGAUGGACUCGCGGCUUAUCAGCUUGUUGGUGGGGUAGUGUCUUACCAAGGCUUUGACGGGUAGCCGGCCUGAGAGGGUGACCGGCCACAUUGGGACUGAGAUACGGCCCAGACUCCUACGGGAGGAAGCAGUGGGGAAUAUUGCACAAUGGGCGGAAGCCUGAUGCAGCAACGCCGCGUGCGGGAUGACGGCCUUCGGGUUGUAAACCGCUUUCGCCUGUGACGAAGCGUGAGUGACGGUAAUGGGGAAAGAAGCACCGGCUAACUACGU